GAAACAAUCCAUCUCUGUGAGUUUACAUCCCAUGCCUAAUGCAGGAAUGAAAGCCGGUGUGCUAAUCUCCAUUGUUUAGAAUGCUAUAAGGACAGUUCUGAGAAAACAAGAUCACUUCUGGGGUCCAUUCACAGAACAUGCUUAUAGUGGUAUUAUUCCACUAACUUCCAUUCUAUGGAUGCCUGGAAUUUGCGUUUAGAAUUCUCAGCUUGAAAGCUUCAGUGCCGCACCAAGGCACAAACUUCAGGAUUCCAUAGAAUGGAAUCAUGGCAGAUAAAGUGGAAUCAUAUUGCUAUAAUUCUGUAGUGUGAAUGGGCUCCAGGUGUCAUUCAUGUAGAGGGACCCAUGGGCUGUCUGUCUAGAAUUUCCAUUCCUUUCCAUUCCUUCAUCUUUCCUCUGAAUUUCUUUCAUCCAGCUCUCUUCUGCUUUACAUAAUAAAAUGCUUUAUUUGUCUGAGUCAUCUGGAUGUUAUCUGUUCAUUGUAUUCUUUGGUCUAUCAGCACUCAUGACAUUAUAUAUCUCAGUUUAUGGAGCACUCUAAUAUGGAUGAAUUACUGGGGGAUUAGGGAAAACAGAUAUCAGGGGCAUCUUGUCCUAAUAAUUCUGUGGUUUUAUAGCUCCAUUUACCUUCACUGCGCCCUUUGCUAAUCUGUUUGUUGAAGAUCUGGUUUUAAUUGAUUUCCUUUUCUGACUCUGCUGUUUACCUGCCCAGAAUAAACAGAAGGUUAGUAACCCAGAGUUAAUGCUUACUGUGUGAUUAAAGUGUAGAUAGGUAGAACAGUUUCCCUGAGUUGCCACAAGCACCAAAGUAUGACACAAAAGCUGACAUCAGUUUGUCUACUCUAAACAAGGAAAAAGAACUUUUGCCUAGCAGUAUUGCGUAUAUUUGAUUAGGCAGAGCUCACUGUCUCCCACCCUCCUAAAGAACCAAGGCCAAACAGAGUCCUUUAGGAUUCUGGAAAUAAAACAGGAUAUCUUUCAUGAGUCCCAUGGAUUUGUUCUGGCAUGUAUUUUGUCUAUGAGAGGGUUCAGGUCUGGCUGAAAAUGUUGCCGAAAUUAUGGGAAGUCAUGAAUUAGUAAUUGUUUAAGAUGCCUAGCUGCUAAAUCACUGCCUGUUGAUGUUGAGGAAUUCCGGCAUAAGAGACAACAGAGGGUGGCAGGAGGUGGGAGUACAAGUCUUGGGGAAAAGUAUCAGGGAAAUGAAUCAAUUCCUGCUUUUGUUGGAGAUUUCCUAUGUUGUCUAGAUCUGGAAUUUAACUUCUGUGAGAUUUAAUAGUAGCUCCUCAUUUUAUCAUAGGAAUAGUGUGCUUUCAUUAGUCUUUCUUAUGGCUAUUUUGAAGCAAAAUACAAUGGACUGAAUCAGAACUCAUCAUACAUAUAUUCAUUUAUUUAUUGCAUUUCUAUUCCUCCUUUCCUUGAAUGCACUCAAGGUGGUAUACAUGGCUGUCCUUGUCUCCACAUUAUCAUGAAAUGAAAUGAAGAACAAGCUGAGAGAGUGACUGCCAUAAGGUCACCCGGACUCACUGGUCCUAACUGCGCUUUGCCUAAUUUAAAAGGACAUCUGAAUCACAACAUCGCCAUCUGGAUCUCUGGCAAGGCCAGGAAGGCUUAGCAGAGCACAGUCAGCUGCAGAGCGUUGUUGUUGCUGUAGUCAGGUGAUAAAAAUAGAGCAUAGAAUUUUUCAAGGCCCGUGCUUUUCAGCUCUCUCCCAAAAUGGAUGAGAAGAUAUUUUUCCACUGCCAAGGUUCCUCACCAUCAACCUACAUCACUGACUGCUCUGGGUGGCAAUAACACCAAGGUGUGAUGACACCAUGUCUUUUUUUUUUUUUAAUGUGAAAAGACAUUCCUAAAGGUAAGAGGAGAAGGAGAAUCCAGAUUUUUACUAGUAGCAGCAAUCUUUGCUGUAAUACCUAUGUCUCACUUUAGGGUGGAAAAGAAGGAAUCAUAUGAAAAUUCCCUCCCCCUCCAUAACCAUCAAACAAAAUAGAUGUACAGAUGCACAGUCUCCAUAUUUGAGGACAUCCGAGCUUGUCCAGCCAUUCUGAACAAACAAAAGGGAAUCUGUGUCUUCAUUUUGUUUUUUCUUUCUUUCUUUCAAACUUCCGAAAGGAAACAGAAUUUGCUGUUAGCUAAUCUAAAUGCAACUUGGAAAAUUUACUCUUUGGAAUUAUAGCUCCCAUAAUCAUUCAGCCAGCAUUGACUAUUGGUUCUUAUGCAGGACUGUUAGUUUUUGCAAAUACAAUCAAGAACAUUAGGAGUCUUUUGGAAGGGGCUGUGGGGUAUUUUUGGACUGCGUUGAAAUUCCAAUGUACCAAAGGAGUAGCAGUAGUACUGGGGCCAGGGGUAAGGUUAGCAAUAUGACUAAUCUUAGUGAGUUCAGUCUACUGAAAACCCAAGUAUGUCACCUAUGCUUUUUGGCAUCAAGGUUCACUGAAAUGGGAUGUUUUUCCCCAAUGCAUUAAACUGGCUGGGAGAAAUGGCAAAACAUAAUAGAUUUGUUGGAACACUGUCCUGAAUCCUACUGUUAUUCUGAACCAGAGUAGACCCACUAAAUCAAUAGGAUGUAUUUAAUGUUGACUGAUCAUUCAACAAUUGAUGUAAUCUACUGCAUUUGGGACCAACUGAAAAAAUUCAGAACUUUGGGUCCUAUACCAGGAGAAAGGAAGGACAAAAAUUAGAGAAAGGGAUAGAGAGACAGAAAGAAAACUAUUGAAGUGACAAUGUUGAUGACUAUCUAUCUUAGAUUGUUUCAAACUACACAAAUGUAGAAUGAUGAUUCUACUUUAAUUGGCAUAGUUCCAUUUUAUGGAAUUCUGGGAUUUGCAUUUUUGGGAGGGAUAAUAAAAAUUUGUUGUCAAGGGGCAUCAAUGCUUUACCAAGCUACAAAUCCCACUAUUCCACUGUUACUAUAAUUCUGUAGUGUGAAAGAGCCUCUUGUAGGUCUACUUUUGUGUGAAUUCUGUAACAGAAUGUGACUCUGGAGGAUUCAAAUGUCUUGCCCUAGUGCAUGAGAUUUGAAGAUUUAAAUUUUAUUUGGCAUAAACUGUUGUGGAUUAUAGCCCACUUGAACUGGAUGAAGUGGGCUGCUGUCUACAAAAAAGUAUGCCAGAUAAAAUGAAGAAGUCUUUAAGAUGCCACGAGAGUAACUGGUGCUGCGACAAAUUAGCACAGUGACCCACCAGGAAACACUUCUCUAAAAAGAGGUUCUUCCAUGAAUACAGCCCUCAGUGUGCAUGCAUUUCUCCAUAUAAUUGCCUUUCUUGCUUCUUUGUCUUUCGAAAGUAGAAGUUUGAAAUGUGUUAUGUCUCCCUGCUGGUCCAUAAAAAGCUAUUCUAGUGUCCUAGUUGUACUUCCUUAUUAGAAUAAGUGCGAACUACUAUAUAUAAGUAUGGGUUGCAAACACCAAACAGCACAGUGUAUGUAGGCCAAGAGUAAGGUGACAAGCUGCAAAGGAGAACAAGGCUUCUGAAUUUUUAACAGCCCAGAGCAGAAAUGUCAAGAGGUAGAGAUAUUUCAUACUCCUGUAGGUCAGGCUAUAUCUGUCAAAAUGCCACUUGUCCACCACUAUAAAGGAUAGAGGAUGUCUGUUGUGUUUUGUGCCUGAGGAACUUUCCCUAAAAUGUUUGUCUGGUCAUUCAUCUACUUCAGAGCUUGGAAAGCAGUGGUGUCACUAGGGCAGGGGUAGGCAACCUUUUUGAGCCGAGGGCCGGGUUGCUGUCCCUC
This is a long non-coding RNA of Sceloporus undulatus (fence lizard), 3723 nucleotides long. RefSeq lists it as uncharacterized. NCBI's taxonomy places the organism in Eukaryota, Metazoa, Chordata, Lepidosauria, Squamata, Phrynosomatidae. The transcript has 3 exons. The record is from RefSeq and is a predicted model, not a curated record.